GCGAGGAGAUCGGCCCCCUCUUCCCGUCUCCAUCCCCGGUAGGCCUCAGCUAGAUUUCUACGGCUCCCAGCAGUGUAAACCUGCGGAAGGGUUGACGGAUUGCUUGCCCAAGAUUUCCUGACCUAGUAUGGGCACAGGAUUGGACAUGUCAGCGGUAAAGCUGGGGUAAAUACUCUAUUUUUGAGCAAUUCUGCAGGAGCUCCAGUGCCAC
Molecule: non-coding RNA, 211 nt
Organism: Pelobates cultripes (western spadefoot toad)
Lineage: Eukaryota; Metazoa; Chordata; Amphibia; Anura; Pelobatidae
Source: the annotation of a GenBank genome assembly